RNAcentral lists this transfer RNA (83 nucleotides) under Agrocybe pediades. It matches the Rfam family "tRNA". From Rfam's summary of the family: Transfer RNA (tRNA) molecules are approximately 80 nucleotides in length. Their secondary structure includes four short double-helical elements and three loops (D, anti-codon, and T loops). Further hydrogen bonds mediate the characteristic L-shaped molecular structure. tRNAs have two regions of fundamental functional importance: the anti-codon, which is responsible for specific mRNA codon recognition, and the 3' end, to which the tRNAs corresponding amino acid is attached (by aminoacyl-tRNA synthetases). tRNAs cope with the degeneracy of the genetic code in two manners: having more than one tRNA (with a specific anti-codon) for a particular amino acid; and 'wobble' base-pairing, i.e. permitting non-standard base-pairing at the 3rd anti-codon position. Lineage: Eukaryota; Fungi; Basidiomycota; Agaricomycetes; Agaricales; Agrocybaceae. The record is from Rfam by way of RNAcentral.
GGCUACCUAGCGCAAUGGUAGCGCGUUUGGCUUCGAUGCUGAAUGGCACCAAAAGGUUGCAGGUUCGAGUCCUGCGGUGGUCA